UACGUAGGGGGCUAGCGUUGUCCGGAAUCAUUGGGCGUAAAGAGCGUGUAGGCGGCCCGGUAAGUCCGCUGUAAAAGUCGGGGGCUCAACCCUCGGAUGCCGGUGGAUACUGUCGGGCUUGAGUACGGAAGAGGCGAGUGGAAUUCCUGGUGUAGCGGUGAAAUGCGCAGAUAUCAGGAGGAACACCAAUUGCGAAGGCAGCUCGCUGGGACGUUACUGACGCUGAGACGCGAAAGCGUGGGGAGCAAACAGG
This 253-nucleotide ribosomal RNA is filed under the name uncultured bacterium. Its description in RNAcentral is "partial 16S ribosomal RNA". It matches the Rfam family "Bacterial small subunit ribosomal RNA", at positions 524 to 776 of the family's 1533-position model. The record is from RNAcentral.